This 1324-nucleotide ribosomal RNA is filed under the name metagenome. Its description in RNAcentral is "bacterial LSU rRNA". It matches the Rfam family "Bacterial large subunit ribosomal RNA", at positions 1561 to 2925 of the family's 2925-position model. The record is from RNAcentral.
AGUGGAUGGGGAGCAACCUAGUUGUGCGUGUGUAAAGGUAGUGCCAAGAAAAGCGAUGAUCAUGUUGAAAAUCAAUUCCCGGUACCCGAAACCGACACAGGUGGGCAAGUAGAGAAUACUAAGGGGCGCGAGGUAACUCUCUCCAAGGAACUCGGCAAAAUGACCCCGUAACUUAGGGAGAAGGGGUGCCACCGAGAGGUGGUCGCAGUGAAGAGGCCCAGGCGACUGUUUAGCAAAAACAUAGGUCUCUGCAAACUCGAAAGAGGAGGUAUAGGGGCUGACGCCUGCCCAGUGCCGGAAGGUUAAAGAAGUUGGUCAGUUUUAGGAUGAAGCUAGCGACUGAAGCCCCGGUGAACGGCGGCCGUAACUAUAACGGUCCUAAGGUAGCGAAAUUCCUUGUCGGGUAAGUUCCGACCCGCACGAAAGGCGUAACGAUCUGGGCGCUGUCUCGGAGAGAGGCUCGGCGAAAUAGGAUUGUCUGUGAAGAUACGGACUACCUGCAUUUGGACAGAAAGACCCUAUGAAGCUUUACUAUAGCUUGGAAUUGUGUUCGGGCUUCCUGUGCGCAGGAUAGGUGGGAGGCGUAGAAGGUAUUCUUGUGGGGAUACUGGAGCCAACGGUGAGAUACCACUCUCAGGAGGCUAGAAUUCUACUUAAUUAAGGACAGUUUCAGGUGGGUAGUUUGACUGGGGCGGUCGCCUCCAAAAAGGUAACGGAGGCGUACAAAGGUUCCCUCAGACUGGUUGGAAAUCUGUCGAAGAGUGCAAAGGCAGAAGGGAGCUUGACUGCGAGAAGUACAGUUCGAGCAGGGUGGAAACACGGUCUUAGUGAUCCGACGGUGCUGUGUGGAAGGGCCGUCGCUCAACGGAUAAAAGUUACUCUAAGGAUAACAGGCUGAUCUCCCCCAAGAGUUCACAUCGACGGGGAGGUUUGGCACCUCGAUGUCGGCUCAUCGCAACCUGGGGCGGAAGUACGUCCCAAGGGUUGGGCUGUUCGCCCAUUAAAGCGGUACGUGAGCUGGGUUCAGAACGUCGUGAGACAGUUCGGUCCAUAUCCGAUGUAGGCGUAGAAUAUUGAGAGGAGCCUUCCUUAGUACGAGAGGACCGGGAAGGACGCACCGCUGGUGUACCUGUUAUGAUGCCAAUUGUAAACGCAGGGUAGCCAAGUGCGGAGAGGAUAACCGCUGAAAGCAUCUAAGUGGGAAGCCCACCUCAAGAUGAGUAUUCUGGUGUAAGGUCACGGGAAGACGACCCGUAAAUAGGCACGAGGUGGAAGUGCAGAGAUGUAUGAAGCCGAAGUGUACUAAUAGACCGUCGGCUUGACC